CCUCUUUCCAGCUGAUGUUCUGAAAGACUUCCCUGCCAGUUGGAAUGCGUUAUGCAAAUAACUUCUGUUUUCAUUUAUUUUGCUGACCUAAGGCAGGAUGAAGACCUAGCUGGACUGGAAAUCAGGUUUCUGACUCCUCAUCCCAUUUAAAUCCCAUCUCAUCACCCAGCACCUUAACUGCAGGCAUGGGGGACCACAGGUUCUGUACCUGAUUUGCAAGUCGUGCAAGUCUCAGCAAUCUCAUGGAGCCUCGAAACACUCUACUGGAAUGAAGAAUCGGAAGCGUGGCCCCAUGGCAUCCCAGCUUUACUUCUGAGACCAAAGCGCUGAAGUUCAGUGUGGCGAGGGUGCCGGGAAAUGGGGCGCCAUCAUGGCCUCCUGGUGUGAGUUAAAAAUGGCCCAGGCUUCUUUGGGAGAACAGUUUGUCAUUGUCUAGACAAAAGUGUAGAAUUAUCUAACCCACUGACCCAGCAAUUCCACUUCUGAGUUACCCAACAGACAAUGCACAUGGCUACACUGGAUACUCGACAGGCACCCAGACCCAUUCAUCAACAGUGUUCAACAUGAGUCCUACCUAUUACAAACCGAUACUUUAAAAACGAAUUCUAUACUUCUUGUGAAUACAAAAUGCUAUUUCUUUCCAGAUUUUUUGGUACUAAUUCAUUCAAUGAAAGAUGCAUAUUUUCACAAUUCCUGUAA
Cervus elaphus (red deer) is the source of this 699-nucleotide long non-coding RNA. RefSeq lists it as uncharacterized. The transcript is spliced from 2 exons. The record is from RefSeq and is a predicted model, not a curated record. NCBI's taxonomy places the organism in Eukaryota, Metazoa, Chordata, Mammalia, Artiodactyla, Cervidae.